GAUGAACGCUGGCGGCGUGCCUAAUACAUGCAAGUCGAGCGAACGGACGAGAAGCUUGCUUCUCUGAUGUUAGCGGCGGACGGGUGAGUAACACGUGGAUAACCUACCUAUAAGACUGGGAUAACUUCGGGAAAAAGUAGCUAAUACCGGAUAAUAUUUUGAACCGCAUGGUUCAAAAGUGAAAGAAGGCCUUGCUGUCACUUAUAGAUGGAUCCGCGCUGCAUUAGCUAGUUGGUAAGGUAACGGCUUACCAAGGCAACGAUGCAUAGCCGACCUGAGAGGGUGAUCGGCCACACUGGAACUGAGACACGGUCCAGACUCCUACGGGAGGCAGCAGUAGGGAAUCUUCCGCAAUGGGCGAAAGCCUGACGGUGCAACGCCGCGUGAGUGAUGAAGGUCUUCUGAUCGUAAAACUCUGUUAUUAGGGAAGAACAUAUGUGUAAGUAACUGUGCACAUCUUGACGGUACCUAAUCAGAAAGCCACGGCUAACUACGUG
Molecule: ribosomal RNA, 497 nt
Filed under: uncultured bacterium
Lineage: Bacteria
Description: partial 16S ribosomal RNA
Rfam family: Bacterial small subunit ribosomal RNA
Source: RNAcentral